Molecule: ribosomal RNA, 664 nt
Filed under: Loigolactobacillus coryniformis
Lineage: Bacteria; Bacillati; Bacillota; Bacilli; Lactobacillales; Lactobacillaceae
Description: bacterial SSU rRNA
Rfam family: Bacterial small subunit ribosomal RNA
Source: RNAcentral
CAUGCAAGUCGAACGCACUGACGUCGACCGAAGCUGCUUGCAGUGGACGUUGAUUGACGUGAGUGGCGGACGGGUGAGUAACACGUGGGUAACCUACCCUUAAGUGGGGGAUAACAUUUGGAAACAGAUGCUAAUACCGCAUAACCAUUCAGACCACAUGGUCUGAAUGUAAAAGACGGCCUUUGGCUGUCACUUUUGGACGGACCCGCGGCGUAUUAGUUAGUUGGUAAGGUAACGGCUUACCAAGACAAUGAUACGUAGCCGACCUGAGAGGGUAAUCGGCCACAUUGGGACUGAGACACGGCCCAAACUCCUACGGGAGGCAGCAGUAGGGAAUCUUCCACAAUGGACGAAAGUCUGAUGGAGCAACGCCGCGUGAGUGAAGAAGGUUUUAGGAUCGUAAAACUCUGUUGUUGGAGAAGAACAGGGACUAGAGUAACUGUUAGUCCUUUGACGGUAUCCAACCAGAAAGCCACGGCUAACUACGUGCCAGCAGCCGCGGUAAUACGUAGGUGGCAAGCGUUGUCCGGAUUUAUUGGGCGUAAAGCGAGCGCAGGCGGUUUUUUAAGUCUGAUGUGAAAGCCUUCGGCUUAACCGAAGAAGUGCAUUAGAAACUGGAAAACUUGAGUGCAGAAGAGGACAGUGGAACUCCAUGUGUAGCGGU